CAGAGUUGCACAAACUCCCCACAAACCAUCGCGAAUCUUACCCGUUACGGUUGCCUCGGCGCUGGCGGUCCGGAAGGCCAUCGGGCCCCCCGGAUCCUCGGGUCUCCCGCUCGCGGGAGGCUAGCCCGCCGGAGUGCCGAAACCAAACUCUUGAUAUUUUAUGUCUCUCUGAGUAAACUUUUAAAUAAGUCA
This 192-nucleotide unclassified non-coding RNA is filed under the name soil metagenome. RNAcentral's name for it is "partial internal transcribed spacer 1". The record is from RNAcentral.